RNAcentral lists this ribosomal RNA (253 nucleotides) under uncultured bacterium. RNAcentral's name for it is "partial 16S ribosomal RNA". It matches the Rfam family "Bacterial small subunit ribosomal RNA", at positions 524 to 776 of the family's 1533-position model. The record is from RNAcentral.
UACGGAGGGUGCGAGCGUUGUCCGGAAUUAUUGGGCGUAAAGAGCUCGUAGGCGGUUUGUCGCGUCGGCUGUGAAAACCUGGGGCUUAACUCCGGGCCUGCAGCCGAUACGGGCAGACUAGAGUUCGGCAGGGGAGACUGGAAUUCCUGGUGUAGCGGUGAAAUGCGCAGAUAUCAGGAGGAACACCGGUGGCGAAGACGGGUCUCUGGGCCGAUACUGACGCUGAGGAGCGAAAGCGUGGGGAGCAAACAGG